CGAAAAUAGCCAUUUUGUGAUGAAAUAGUCAGAGGAAAAACGUGUUGAAAUUAUCGCGAGGAAAAUAAGGAAUUAUCAGAGUAAAAAUAGCCGUAGGAUAUAGCGGAAGACGACAAAUACCCGCUGAAAAGGAGUAUAGAAAAUCGCCCAGGAAUUAAAGAGAAAAUAGAAUACGUCCGGAAAGGUGGAAAAAAGGGAGUUCGAAGAAGCUCAGUCGAGAAAAAUAUCUUCAACCACCGCCCACCGUCGACACAUCCGACCUACAUUGUCUGAAAUAAAUAGUACAUUAGCCAAUACAGUCCACUCUAGUUACUGCCGUCAGCAACACUAAUAAAGAAAU
Long non-coding RNA from Lutzomyia longipalpis, 340 nucleotides. RefSeq lists it as uncharacterized. The record is from RefSeq and is a predicted model, not a curated record. NCBI's taxonomy places the organism in Eukaryota, Metazoa, Arthropoda, Insecta, Diptera, Psychodidae. The transcript has 4 exons.